Non-coding RNA from Salmo salar (Atlantic salmon), 1461 nucleotides. The record is from RefSeq and is a predicted model, not a curated record. NCBI's taxonomy places the organism in Eukaryota, Metazoa, Chordata, Actinopteri, Salmoniformes, Salmonidae.
GUUCUGUUGUGAAAAUAUCUGAUGUGAUUGGUCAAAAGACCAAUUAGUGGAAGAAAAAUCAGAAUGCAGCUGCCUGUGUAAACUCAGCAUUUGUGACUUUCUGAAAAAAUUGCCCCCUCCCCUUAUUAUCUCAUGCUGUUUAGUCUUACUUUCUCUUUGCUAUUAGAACAGAUCACUUCAAAACACAACUGCAAUACAGUUAACAGAAAAUAAUCCCAUAGCUGCAGGAUCCAUAUUGGAGCGCAGAGGUCAUUUUCAACAGGGCUCUUUCGUGUAAUUUCAGAUUUUCAUAAAGUGUGCACUAUAAAUGGCACCCGAGAUUAAAUACUACACAGUUGAGACUGGCAAUACUUUGGAUUCUCAUAUUCAGUUUAUGAGUCAACUCAACAAGACCACAAGAUGUUUUACGGAAGUCGAGUCGCCAGUGGAGAGUGAUGUCAUCCUGGCUUUCUGUCCCAUCGUCUCCCGCGCCGGGACUGAUAUUGAAGCAGCACUGCAACAGAUUCCAAUUGGUAAAGAUGUAAUUCUGGUAGUGCUGCAUCACAUCUUCAACCCAGACUCCACUGUACCUGACAGCUGCAGACUAGUGACCAGAAGUGAUGUAAUACUCACAGUGGACUGUCUGUUCCAUGAGAGCCAGGGAGGACUACUGGACUGUCCUCGCAAUGAUGCAGCAGUCAGCGCGAUUCUGAGGAGGCUGAUUAAACAACCUAAGAGAGGUGCAGGGGGCCCAACGCUCCUAACCUCCAGGCCACCUGCCGCCCCCCGGAACAGAUCACAUCAAACCACAACUGCAAUACAGUUGGCAGAAAAUAAUCCCAUAACUGCAGGCAGCAGACUAGUGACCAGAAGUGAUGUAAUACUCACAGUGGACUGUCUGUCCCAUGAGAACCAGAGAGGACUAGUGGAGUGUCCUCACAAUGAUGCAGCAGCCAGCGCGAUUAGGAAGAAGCUUGGCAUAGAUCUUAUGACCAGAAGUCAUGGCUUUCUAUCUAGGAUUAUAAACAUUGUCAUGGCGGCAGCGACUUCAGUCUACGACUACUUUUUCAAUCACAGUAGGUUCUAUUGUGUGGUCAUUCAUCUGUUCAAUUUGAUACAGUAAUCAUCACAGGUCAAAUCAGCACUAACGUCUUGUGUUUUAUGUUUCCUAAUCUUUUCAAGAUCCACGUCCUUCUUAAAGACCUUGUUCUGGCAGUCUGAGAUUGUGAGCUAUAUAAUGAUCCAUGUCCCUCUUCAAGACCUCGUUCCAGAAGUGAUGAAAGCAGUUCCACUUUUGUACCAGCAAUGAGACAUGUUGAUUGUUUUCAUGGAUUACAUCUUUAAUUUCAUGGCCUACUUAAGAAAAUGUCUUUACUUUUGAUGCUAAGAGCACUUGCGGUUGUAAUGUAUAGAAAUUGGGGCCGAUAUAAAAAAUGUUAAUAAAAAUGAAUGGAAAAAAAUAAAGAACAAACCGUAUCUGUG